RNAcentral lists this ribosomal RNA (547 nucleotides) under uncultured bacterium. RNAcentral describes it as "bacterial SSU rRNA". It matches the Rfam family "Bacterial small subunit ribosomal RNA", at positions 355 to 896 of the family's 1533-position model. The record is from RNAcentral.
UGGGGAAUAUUGCGCAAUGGGGGGAACCCUGACGCAGCCAUGCCGCGUGAAUGAAGAAGGCCUUCGGGUUGUAAAGUUCUUUCGGUAUUGAGGAAGGUUGAUGUGUUAAUAGCACAUCAAAUUGACGUUAAAUACAGAAGAAGCACCGGCUAACUCCGUGCCAGCAGCCGCGGUAAUACGGAGGGUGCGAGCGUUAAUCGGAAUAACUGGGCGUAAAGGGCACGCAGGCGGUUAUUUAAGUGAGGUGUGAAAGCCCCGGGCUUAACCUGGGAAUUGCAUUUCAGACUGGGUAACUAGAGUACUUUAGGGAGGGGUAGAAUUCCACGUGUAGCGGUGAAAUGCGUAGAGAUGUGGAGGAAUACCGAAGGCGAAGGCAGCCCCUUGGGAAUGUACUGACGCUCAUGUGCGAAAGCGUGGGGAGCAAACAGGAUUAGAUACCCUGGUAGUCCACGCUGUAAACGCUGUCGAUUUGGGGGUUGGGGUUUAACUCUGGCGCCCGUAGCUAACGUGAUAAAUCGACUGCCUGGGGAGUACGGCCGCAAGGUUA